Non-coding RNA from Mytilinidion resinicola, 74 nucleotides. The record is from the annotation of a RefSeq genome assembly. Lineage: Eukaryota; Fungi; Ascomycota; Dothideomycetes; Mytilinidiales; Mytilinidiaceae.
GGUUCGGCGUUGUAGUUGGUUAUCAAGUCAGUCUAACACACUGAAGGUUCCCGGUUCAAGCCCGGGCCGAAUCA